UAAAACGUAGGACACGAGCGUUAUCCGGAGUUACUGGGCGUAAAGGGCGUGCAGGCGGUUUUGUAAGUUUGAUGUGAAAGCGCCCGGCUUAACCGGGCGAGGACAUUGGAGACUGCAAGACUAGAGGCAGAUAGAGGGGUGUAGAAUUCCGGGUGUAGUGGUGAAAUGCGUAGAGAUCCGGAGGAAUACCAGAGGCGAAGGCGGCACCCUGGGUCUGACCUGACGCUGAGACGCGACAGCAUGGGGAGCGAACGGGAUUAGAAACCCCGGUAGUCCAUGCCGUAAACGAUGUGUACUAGGUGUUCACUCUCGCAAGAGAGGGAGCGCCUCAGCUAACGCGCUAAGUACACCGCCUGGGGAGUACGGUCGCAAGGCUA
Molecule: ribosomal RNA, 377 nt
Filed under: uncultured bacterium
Lineage: Bacteria
Description: bacterial SSU rRNA
Rfam family: Bacterial small subunit ribosomal RNA
Source: RNAcentral